GCGAGUGAAGCGGGAAAAGCUCAAAUUUAAAAUCUGGCGGUCUCUGAUCGUCCGAGUUGUAGUCUGGAGAAGCGUUUUCCGCGUUGGACCGUGUACAAGUUUCCUGGAACGGAGCGUCAUAGAGGGUGAGAAUCCCGUCUUUGACACGGACCCCAAUGCUUUGUGAUGCGCUCUCAAAGAGUCGAGUUGUUUGGGAAUGCAGCUCAAAAUGGGUGGUGAAUUCCAUCUAAAGCUAAAUAUUGGCGAGAGACCGAUAGCGAACAAGUACCGUGAGGGAAAGAUGAAAAGCACUUUGGAAAGAGAGUUAAACAGUACGUGAAAUUGUUGAAAGGGAAACGCUUGAAGUCAGUCGCGUUGGCCGGGACUCAGCCUUGCAUCAGCAUGGUGUACUUUCCGGUCGACGGGCCAGCAUCAGUUUCGACCGCGAGAUAAAGGCAGAGGGAAUGUGGCUCUUUCGGGAGUGUUAUAGCCCUUCGUCGGAUGUCGUGGUUGGGACUGAGGAACUCAGCACGCCUUUAUGGCCGGGGUUCGCCCACGUACGUGCUUAGGAUGCUGGCGUAAUGGCUUUAAACGACCCGUCUUGAAACACGGACCAAGGAGUCUAACAUGCCUGCGAGUGUUCGGGUGGAAAACCCGUGCGCGUAAUGAAAGUGAAAGUUGGGAUCCCUGUCGUGGGGUGCACCGACGCCCGGACCAGACCUUUUGUGACGGAUCUGCGGUAGAGCAUGUAUGUUGGGACCCGAAAGAUGGUGAACUAUGCCUGAAUAGGGUGAAGCCAGAGGAAACUCUGGUGGAGGCUCGUAGCGAUUCUGACGUGCAA
RNAcentral lists this ribosomal RNA (820 nucleotides) under Aleurodiscus senticosus. RNAcentral describes it as "LSU rRNA". It matches the Rfam family "Eukaryotic large subunit ribosomal RNA", at positions 89 to 896 of the family's 3401-position model. Lineage: Eukaryota; Fungi; Basidiomycota; Agaricomycetes; Russulales; Stereaceae. The record is from RNAcentral.